AUUGAACGCUGGCGGCAUGCUUUACACAUGCAAGUCGAACGGCAGCGUGGGCUUCGGCCUGGCGGCGAGUGGCGAACGGGUGAGUAAUACAUCGGAACGUGCCCAGUAGUGGGGGAUAGCUCGGCGAAAGCCGGAUUAAUACCGCAUACGACCUGAGGGUGAAAGCGGGGGAUCUUCGGACCUCGCGCUAUUGGAGCGGCCGAUGGCAGAUUAGCUAGUUGGUGGGGUAAAGGCCUACCAAGGCGACGAUCUGUAGCUGGUCUGAGAGGACGACCAGCCACACUGGGACUGAGACACGGCCCAGACUCCUACGGGAGGCAGCAGUGGGGAAUUUUGGACAAUGGGCGAAAGCCUGAUCCAGCAAUGCCGCGUGUGUGAUGAAGGCCUUCGGGUUGUAAAGCACUUUUGGCGGGAACGAAAAGGACUGUGCCAAUACCACGGUUCGAUGACGGUACCCGCAGAAUAAGCACCGGCUAACUACGUG
RNAcentral lists this ribosomal RNA (484 nucleotides) under uncultured bacterium. RNAcentral describes it as "partial 16S ribosomal RNA". It matches the Rfam family "Bacterial small subunit ribosomal RNA", at positions 29 to 507 of the family's 1533-position model. The record is from RNAcentral.